Sebastes umbrosus (honeycomb rockfish) is the source of this 263-nucleotide long non-coding RNA. RefSeq lists it as uncharacterized. Lineage: Eukaryota; Metazoa; Chordata; Actinopteri; Perciformes; Sebastidae. The transcript has 2 exons. The record is from RefSeq and is a predicted model, not a curated record.
AUUCAAUUAUGACAGAACAAUUAUCAAAAUUAUGUUUAUUUUAUAUUGUAAUAGUUUGGUCACAAUAACGACACUGGACAAUGUUCAGAUUGGCCCAGUUCUGUGCAAUGUCCCUGAGUGAAGGCAUUGAAAACCUUUGCUCCUUUAGCUAAAAUAUCAGAUUAUUCCUUUAUCGGACUGAUCAGAAUUUUUAUAUUUAACUACCAGUGGUCUAGGAAGCCCCAGGUGUGUAGUGUGACAUUAAAAUAUAUUCAGCACACAAG